AUAUACAUUAACGUGGAAGGUUGCAGCCGACCUCGUCGGAUCUCGGAAGCUAAGCAGGAUUGAGCCGGGUUUGUUACUUAGAUGGGAGGAUGCCUCGGGACAUCAGGUGUUAUA
This 114-nucleotide ribosomal RNA is filed under the name Petromyzon marinus (sea lamprey). The record is from RNAcentral. Lineage: Eukaryota; Metazoa; Chordata; Hyperoartia; Petromyzontiformes; Petromyzontidae.